CAACCCUGUGACAUACCUAUAACGUUGCCUCGGCGGGAACAGACGGCCCCGUAACACGGGCCGCCCCCGCCAGAGGACCCCCUAACUCUGUUUCUAUAAUGUUUCUUCUGAGUAAACAAGCAAAUAAAUUAAAACUUUCAACAACGGAUCUCUUGGCUCUGGCAUCGAUGAAGAACGCAGCGAAAUGCGAUAAGUAAUGUGAAUUGCAGAAUUCAGUGAAUCAUCGAAUCUUUGAACGCACAUUGCGCCCGCCAGUAUUCUGGCGGGCAUGCCUGUUCGAGCGUCAUUACAACCCUCAGGCCCCCGGGCCUGGCGUUGGGGAUCGGCGGAAGCCCCCUGCGGGCACAACGCCGUCCCCCAAAUACAGUGGCGGUCCCGCCGCAGCUUCCAUUGCGUAGUAGCUAACACCUCGCAACUGGAGAGCGGCGCGGCCACGCCGUAAAACACCCAACUUCUGAAUGUUGACCUCGAAUCAGGUAGGAAUACCCGCUGAACUUAAGC
RNAcentral lists this ribosomal RNA (501 nucleotides) under Fusarium oxysporum. RNAcentral's name for it is "eukaryotic LSU rRNA". The stretch from base 133 to 286 matches the Rfam family "5.8S ribosomal RNA". The record is from RNAcentral. Lineage: Eukaryota; Fungi; Ascomycota; Sordariomycetes; Hypocreales; Nectriaceae. RNAcentral also lists the same sequence under 1 other name.